RNAcentral lists this ribosomal RNA (999 nucleotides) under Levilactobacillus brevis. RNAcentral's name for it is "bacterial SSU rRNA". It matches the Rfam family "Bacterial small subunit ribosomal RNA", at positions 30 to 996 of the family's 1533-position model. The record is from RNAcentral. Lineage: Bacteria; Bacillati; Bacillota; Bacilli; Lactobacillales; Lactobacillaceae.
CCAAUUGCGGCAUGCCUAUACAUGCAAGUCGAACGAGCUUCCGUUGAAUGACGUGCUUGCACUGAUUUCAACAAUGAAGCGAGUGGCGAACUGGUGAGUAACACGUGGGAAAUCUGCCCAGAAGCAGGGGAUAACACUUGGAAACAGGUGCUAAUACCGUAUAACAACAAAAUCCGCAUGGAUUUUGUUUGAAAGGUGGCUUCGGCUAUCACUUCUGGAUGAUCCCGCGGCGUAUUAGUUAGUUGGUGAGGUAAAGGCCCACCAAGACGAUGAUACGUAGCCGACCUGAGAGGGUAAUCGGCCACAUUGGGACUGAGACACGGCCCAAACUCCUACGGGAGGCAGCAGUAGGGAAUCUUCCACAAUGGACGAAAGUCUGAUGGAGCAAUGCCGCGUGAGUGAAGAAGGGUUUCGGCUCGUAAAACUCUGUUGUUAAAGAAGAACACCUUUGAGAGUAACUGUUCAAGGGUUGACGGUAUUUAACCAGAAAGCCACGGCUAACUACGUGCCAGCAGCCGCGGUAAUACGUAGGUGGCAAGCGUUGUCCGGAUUUAUUGGGCGUAAAGCGAGCGCAGGCGGUUUUUUAAGUCUGAUGUGAAAGCCUUCGGCUUAACCGGAGAAGUGCAUCGGAAACUGGGAGACUUGAGUGCAGAAGAGGACAGUGGAACUCCAUGUGUAGCGGUGGAAUGCGUAGAUAUAUGGAAGAACACCAGUGGCGAAGGCGGCUGUCUAGUCUGUAACUGACGCUGAGGCUCGAAAGCAUGGGUAGCGAACAGGAUUAGAUACCCUGGUAGUCCAUGCCGUAAACGAUGAGUGCUAAGUGUUGGAGGGUUUCCGCCCUUCAGUGCUGCAGCUAACGCAUUAAGCACUCCGCCUGGGGAGUACGACCGCAAGGUUGAAACUCAAAGGAAUUGACGGGGGCCCGCACAAGCGGUGGAGCAUGUGGUUUAAUUCGAAGCUACGCGAAGAACCUUACCAGGUCUUGACAUCUUCUGCCAA